UGUUGCACUAACCUGGAAAAGUCGCUGAAUAGUGUUGCACACGAUGUGGAGGGGCCCAGGAAGAGCUCUGCAACUAUCUACCUGUUCCGGUGCUGUGGGUGUGGAGCUGGGCGGCGCAGUGCAGGCUGCAGCAGCAGGACAUGUAAGUAACAUGUGCCUGCUACUGCUUUGGGGCCCCUGGGCGAUUGCGCCCCAGGGGCUACUCGAUCCCCUGAUCUGCUCAUUGCCUAGGGGCAGGGGAUCGUGUAGCAAUGGAGCAAGCGGCUCUAACAGCCGCUCCUCCACUCUCAAACCCGGAAGUGCUGCAGAACGUAGAAUCUAUGAUCUGUGGCACUUUGGUCCUUUGAUCCACAGACCAUAGAUUCCACGAUCUGUGGCACUAAGGGUUAAAGAGGGAGAAGUGCAAGCUGGUAAAAGGUAUAGAAAAUGUCAGACAUGCGUAGAGACUGGCCAAGUUGGGGUUGUUCACACAGAAUAGGAACCUAAGGGGGGAUAUAACUAUUGUGAGCAGGAUCAGACGAACAGACAAUUCUUUAACAGGGCAAAGUCCAUUUAUUGUUCACAUAUACAGAGCAAAUGCAAACAAAGCAAACAAAAUAAAAUAAAACAAAAUCCUUGCCCCACUUGGGCUCUAACUAAUACACAGGGUAUUUUCACACAAAAGUACAACUCCACAGAGUCACAGUACCUUUCCAAUGUUUAUUUUCCUUUGAGCAAACAAACAGCCGCUCCAAAUGGCUACACUCAGAUCCCAGGUCUCAGCCCCCCUCUGCCUGUUGCUCAAUUUUACUCUGAGGCUCCCCCUCACUAGCAGCAAGCUGAUCUAGCCUGCUAAUUAUUCCCCAGUAGCAAGUUUUUCCUGCUAGGGUGCUAUUCUCAUGGUUAGGAAGCACAUUGAGCAUUGCAAACCAUUUCUGACUUUAUUUUGUUCUCUACAACGCUCAAAUCUUCUUCAGCCUUCAGAAAAACGGUGUUUUAAAAGGUUAAGUGGAUCUGGGGUGUCAUAAACCAUUGCCUCACACUGUAUUUUUUUUUAAUUCAGGUAGAGUUUAUUGAACAGAUAUUGCAUCAUAACUUGACAUGUUUUUUACAUUUUAUGCAUAGCAUUUGUGGUAGAAAUACAAGUAAAAGGGAAAGUACAAGAGGAACGAAUACAUCAUGUUCAUAAAAGGGAUGUGGAUAUAGUCUCUGUGUAUCGCCGUUCAGCGAUGGCCCAUUCUCCACAACAGGAAUCGCUACACAAUUUCUUUGAAAAGCGGCUUUUAUUCAGGCUCCAUAAGUGAUAACAGGCAGUGGAACAUCACAGGAAAUGUUAUUGGUAAAACAUCUUCAAAACAUAAGGUCAAGGCACGUAACAAUUCUAAAUUCUUACAUAUCAUCCGUCUAAGCAAUCAUACAUUUGCUUAACAAUGCCUGUCCUGUGUCAUAAUUAAAUGAACCCUUAAGAGACAUGUAAAAAAGCCCAAGGAAAAUAAAGAAGGAUAAAAGAAAAGGGGAGAGGACAAACUGGCAUGGGCGGUCCUCCACGGACUCAGUGUUUGCUCAAUAAUUAGAGAAGUAAGCACUUUUCGGUGCAUAUAAUUAAAUUAAAGUACAGGCAUUUGGUAAUCGAGUCGAAUGCCAGGGGUCUCAACAAUACUGCAAUAAUACUUCUGCAUCAGUUAUGUUACAAGAGUAAGAUAUUCCAAUGAUUCAACAAACUGUACCCAAAGGAACCAUUUUAAAGUGAGCUUCUCCUGCUGCUUCGGCUUACUAAAGUCCACUUUAUAACUUUCAAAUUGGUGGAUCUCGUUGACCUUACAUGCCCAGUCCUUAAGUGUAGGAAUGAGAUUUGAUUUCCAAAAUAAUGGAAUUAACGACUUUGCAACUGUUACCAAAGUAGAAAUAAGAGCAUUUUUAUAUUAUGCUGGGGACAACUGAUUUCAGUGCAGAAGAAAAAAAGGUGCCGAUUCUGGUAUAGGUAGAUCUGUGAAUCGAGGUAACAGUUAUUUAAUUUGAGUCCAAAACAAUUGUAUGUUAGGGCAUUGCCACAUGAUAUGUAAAAGAGUUCCACCUGAUUGACCACACCUCCAGCAUACAUAUGGAACUUUGGGAAAAAUCUUAGAUAAAACGAUUGGUACUCCAUACCAACGGGAGAGCAUCUUGUAAUUAUUUUCCAACAGUCUGGAGCAUCUGGUGGAUGUAUACGACUUUGUCACUAUGAGUUCCCAUUCUUCCUCUGUAAAAGUAUAAAGCAAUUUUUUUUCCCAAUUCCGUCGGAAAGUGCACAUUGGUGUUAUGGUACGGCAAAUCAAUAUCUUAUACAUUUUAGCAAUUUUGUGAGGAGUGUGAUCUGAGUUAGUGAACAUUUGCUCAAAUAAAGUGUCCUCCGGCCCUG
Long non-coding RNA from Xenopus laevis (African clawed frog), 2377 nucleotides. RefSeq lists it as uncharacterized. The record is from RefSeq and is a predicted model, not a curated record. The transcript is spliced from 2 exons. NCBI's taxonomy places the organism in Eukaryota, Metazoa, Chordata, Amphibia, Anura, Pipidae.